CACGCUAUUACCACUUUAUAUUUGUGGUAUGAUAAUGAACUUGGGUAUUAUGGAAUAAAUCAUCACUUCAAAAGCAUAUAAGCUUUGAUUAAAUCUGGCCAAGCCAAGGGGGUCAUGCAGGUGGAGGCACCCAGUACAAAGGCAUCCCUAAAUUUCCAAUGAUGUGGGACUUGAUUAGCUAGCAUUGAAGAAGACUUAUUCAAAAUUAUCAGUUUAUGACUAGAACUAAAAUAAGCAGACAAAAAAGGGUUGUUCCUUCACCCCUAAUUAUUCUAAGCACAUCAAGUAUGGCCUAGUACACCAUUGCAACAAGGUUUCCAGGUUUUGGAAACGUUUCCGAAAUGAAAUUCUUCCUUCCUUUCUUGCUUCUGUCAUUUGCCCCCAAUCUGCCUGGCCUAUUUAUGCCAGAGUGUCCUAAUCCUAUCUGAUCAUUCUCAAAUCUCAAUCCUUUCCAUUUUUGAGAUUUGUUCAGGUUGAGUUCUUAUUUGCAAACCAGCAAGUGCUUGGCUACUUUUCU
This 517-nucleotide unclassified non-coding RNA is filed under the name Hevea brasiliensis (rubber tree). Lineage: Eukaryota; Viridiplantae; Streptophyta; Magnoliopsida; Malpighiales; Euphorbiaceae. The record is from RNAcentral.